UACGGAGGGUGCAAGCGUUAUCCGGAUUCACUGGGUUUAAAGGGAGCGCAGGCGGACAUGUAAGUCAGUGGUGAAAUACCUGAGCUUAACUCGGGAACUGCCAUUGAUACUAUGUGUCUUGAAUAUUGUUGAGGUUUGCGGAAUGGGUCAUGUAGCGGUGAAAUGCAUAGAUAUGACACAGAACACCGAUUGCGAAGGCAGCUCACUAAAUUGUAACUGACGCUGAGGCACGAAAGCGUGGGGAUCAAACAGG
Molecule: ribosomal RNA, 253 nt
Filed under: uncultured bacterium
Lineage: Bacteria
Description: partial 16S ribosomal RNA
Rfam family: Bacterial small subunit ribosomal RNA
Source: RNAcentral